UGCAAGUCGAGCGGAAAGGCCCUUCGGGGUACUCGAGCGGCGAACGGGUGAGUAACACGUGAGUAACCUGCCCUAGGCUUUGGGAUAACCCUCGGAAACGGGGGCUAAUACCGGAUAUGACCUCUUGUCGCAUGGUGAGGGGUGGAAAGUUUUUCGGCCUGGGAUGGGCUCGCGGCCUAUCAGCUUGUUGGUGGGGUGAUGGCCUACCAAGGCGACGACGGGUAGCCGGCCUGAGAGGGCGACCGGCCACACUGGGACUGAGACACGGCCCAGACUCCUACGGGAGGCAGCAGUGGGGAAUAUUGCACAAUGGGCGGAAGCCUGAUGCAGCGACGCCGCGUGAGGGAUGACGGCCUUCGGGUUGUAAACCUCUUUCAGCAGGGACGAAGCGUGAGUGACGGUACCUGCAGAAGAAGCGCCGGCCAACUACGUGCCAGCAGCCGCGGUAAGACGUAGGGCGCGAGCGUUGUCCGGAUUUAUUGGGCGUAAAGAGCUCGUAGGCGGCUUGUCGCGUCGACCGUGAAAACUUGGGGCUCAACCCCAAGCCUGCGGUCGAUACGGGCAGGCUAGAGUUCGGUAGGGGAGACUGGAAUUCCUGGUGUAGCGGUGAAAUGCGCAGAUAUCAGGAGGAACACCGGUGGCGAAGGCGGGUCUCUGGGCCGAUACUGACGCUGAGGAGCGAAAGCGUGGGGAGCGAACAGGAUUAGA
This 708-nucleotide ribosomal RNA is filed under the name Micromonospora rifamycinica. Its description in RNAcentral is "bacterial SSU rRNA". It matches the Rfam family "Bacterial small subunit ribosomal RNA", at positions 56 to 782 of the family's 1533-position model. Lineage: Bacteria; Bacillati; Actinomycetota; Actinomycetes; Micromonosporales; Micromonosporaceae. The record is from RNAcentral.